Molecule: long non-coding RNA, 1081 nt
Organism: Solea solea (common sole)
Lineage: Eukaryota; Metazoa; Chordata; Actinopteri; Pleuronectiformes; Soleidae
Exons: 3
Source: RefSeq, a predicted model, not a curated record
CUGGUAAACGGAGUGAAGGGCGUAUUCUGCGUCUGGAGCCCAGCACUUUGUUCCCACGCCCUUCAGCAGCUGAGGAAACACAGACACACAGAGUCAACAUGAAGAACUCCCCCGACUCAGAGCGGUAACGGAUAAUCCCUGUGGAAAACCCGACCUCAGGUUCGACAUCAGCGCCGGCCGACGGAGCCAAAUCCAGGCUUAAUCCAGGCUUAAUCCAGGCUUCAGUGAGCGACCACGCACGAGCUUCUAACCAGGUUCUGAAAGUGCAGGAACUCUCUGUGCUUUUAUGAUUCUUUUACGAUUCUCUUAUGAUUCUUUUAUGAUUCUUUUACGAUUCUGCCACCAAACAACACAGUCUCACUCUGACGAGGUUCAUGUCAGGAUUAGGAUUAACGAGGAUGAGGAGGAAGAAGAAGGAGGGAUGGAAAAUAGAAAGUAGAGGAAGAGAAAAGAGAGACUGUGUGUGAGUGUGUCUGUGUGCGUGAGUGAAUGAGUGUGUGUGUGUGUGUGUGUGUCUGUGUGCGUGAGUGAAUGUGUGUGUGUGUGAGUGAGUGAGUGAAUUUGUGUUUUCAGUUAUUAUCAGUGGCUGUAAAUGAGAGCUGACAGAGGAGUGUGUUGUUAGUGUUCACAGUCAAAACACUGAUAACAAACACACACACACACAUGCACGUUCAUGUUGUUCAUAAGUGGAGCUGAUGAAUUGAUGAAAGAAUCUGAGGGAAUCAAACGACUCAGCAAUUUAUGAAGGAAAAAGUGCUGAGUCACAGCGACAAGUUUAAACAGGGAUGAAAGAGUGAAGUGAUUUCAGCUGUUAAUCACUUUGACCUUCAGUGAACAUGAAGUGAGUGAACGAAUGAGUGAAUGUUUUCGAUAUCACAAUGUUUUUUUUAAACAAAUGACAUCAUCAGCCGAGCUAAAGAGAAACAGCUGAUCAACAAUAUUGUGUGUUUAUAACAUGGUGAAGCUUUAAUAGUCGUCAGAAUCCUUUACAUCAUUAUUAUUAUUAUUAUUUUCUUACAAAGACAAAAACAGUUUAACAAAAUAGGAAUUCUUCACAUUAAAAAAAAAAUCUAAACAUAAA